Molecule: ribosomal RNA, 395 nt
Filed under: uncultured bacterium
Lineage: Bacteria
Description: partial 16S ribosomal RNA
Rfam family: Bacterial small subunit ribosomal RNA
Source: RNAcentral
AUACGUAGGUGGCGAGCGUUGUCCGGAAUUACUGGGCGUAAAGCGUGCGCAGGCGGUUUUGUAAGACAGUGGUGAAAUCCCCGGGCUCAACCUGGGAACUGCCAUUGUGACUGCAAGGCGGGAGUGCGGCAGAGGGCGAUGGAAUUCCGCGUGUAGCAGUGAAAUGCGUAGAUAUGCGGAGGAACACCGAUGGCGAAGGCAAUCCCCUGGGCCUGCACUGACGCUCAUGCACGAAAGCGUGGGGAGCAAACAGGAUUAGAUACCCUGGUAGUCCACGCCCUAAACGAUGUCAACUGGUUGUUGGGGAUUUAUUUUCUCAGUAACGAAGCUAACGCGUGAAGUUGACCGCCUGGGGAGUACGGCCGCAAGGUUAAAACUCAAAGGAAUUGACGGGG